ACGGAGGCAGCAGUGGGGAAUAUUGGGCAAUGGGGGAAACCCUGACCCAGCAACGCCGCGUGAAGGAAGAAGGCCCUCGGGUUGUAAACUUCUUUUACCGGGGACGAAACAAUGACGGUACCUGGAGAAAAAGCAACGGCUAGCUACGUGCCAGCAGCCGCGGUAAUACGUAGGUUGCAAGCGUUGUCCGGAUUUACUGGGUGUAAAGGGCGUGUAGGCGGAGAAGCAAGUCAGAUGUGAAAUCCCGGGGCUUAACCCCGGAACUGCAUUUGAAACUGUUUCCCUUGAGUAUCGGAGAGGCAAGCGGAAUUCCUAGUGUAGCGGUGAAAUGCGUAGAUAUUAGGAGGAACACCAGUGGCGAAGGCGGCUUGCUGGACGACAACUGACGCUGAGGCGCGAAAGCGUGGGGAGCAAACAGGAUUAGAUACCCUGGUA
RNAcentral lists this ribosomal RNA (435 nucleotides) under uncultured Oscillospiraceae bacterium. RNAcentral describes it as "partial 16S ribosomal RNA". It matches the Rfam family "Bacterial small subunit ribosomal RNA", at positions 341 to 792 of the family's 1533-position model. The record is from RNAcentral. Lineage: Bacteria; Bacillati; Bacillota; Clostridia; Eubacteriales; Oscillospiraceae.